Molecule: ribosomal RNA, 301 nt
Filed under: uncultured bacterium
Lineage: Bacteria
Description: partial 16S ribosomal RNA
Rfam family: Bacterial small subunit ribosomal RNA
Source: RNAcentral
CAGUAGCCGCGGGAAAACGAAGGGUGCAAGCGUUACUCGGAAUUACUGGGCGUAAAGCGUGCGUAGGUGGUGGUUUAAGUCCGUUGUGAAAGCCCUGGGCUCAACCUGGGAAUUGCAGUGGAUACUGGGUCACUAGAGUGUGGUAGAGGAUAGUGGAAUUUCCGGUGUAGCAGUGAAGUGCGUAGAGAUCGGAAGGAACAUCUGUGGCGAAGGCGACUAUCUGGGCCAACACUGACACUGAGGCACGAAAGCGUGGGGAGCAAACAGGAUUAGAUACCCCGGUAGUCCCUGUCUCUUAUAC